Molecule: ribosomal RNA, 506 nt
Filed under: uncultured bacterium
Lineage: Bacteria
Description: partial 16S ribosomal RNA
Rfam family: Bacterial small subunit ribosomal RNA
Source: RNAcentral
AGUGAACGCUGGCGGUAGGCCUAACACAUGCAAGUCGAACGGCAGCACAGGAGAGCUUGCUCUCUGGGUGGCGAGUGGCGGACGGGUGAGGAAUACAUCGGAAUCUACUCUGUCGUGGGGGAUAACGUAGGGAAACUUACGCCAAUACCGCAUACGACCUACGGGUGAAAGCAGGGGACCUUCGGGCCUUGCGCGAUUGAAUGAGCCGAUGUCGGAUUAGCUAGUUGGCGGGGUAAAGGCCCACCAAGGCGACGAUCCGUAGCUGGUCUGAGAGGAUGAUCAGCCACACUGGAACUGAGACACGGUCCAGACUCCUACGGGAGGCAGCAGUGGGGAAUAUUGGACAAUGGGCGCAAGCCUGAUCCAGCCAUACCGCGUGGGUGAAGAAGGCCUUCGGGUUGUAAAGCCCUUUUGUUGGGAAAGAAAUCCAGCUGGCUAAUACCCCGUUGGGAUGACGGUACCCAAAGAAUAAGCACCGGCUAACUUCGUGCCAGCCGCCGCAGUAA